Molecule: long non-coding RNA, 760 nt
Filed under: Jatropha curcas
Lineage: Eukaryota; Viridiplantae; Streptophyta; Magnoliopsida; Malpighiales; Euphorbiaceae
Description: long non-coding RNA (JCUR_LNC002150)
Source: RNAcentral
GGGUUCGGUGACUCCACUGACUAAUUUCCACGUGAUGUGAUUAUUUGAAGGUGAUAUUGUUUGUGGGUGCUGAUGUGAUCCCAUAUGAUUGAUUAUUGGGUGUUCAUUCAGUAUACUAGGGUGCAUUUUGCUUGAUUGUAUGUGGUGUGUAUUAUUUAUUAUUAUUUACUGAGUUGCAAAACUCACCCCCCCAAUAAACCUCUCAGGUAUCUGGAAGCAGCGGAUUCAACUGAAGCUCUGCAAUCUUCUCCGCAGAGUUAUAAAUGUAAACUUUAUAUUUCUGUUAUUUAAUUUUGAAUGUAUAAAUUAUUCUAUUAUCAGAUUAUUUUUGAACUCCGCAGUUAUAAGAUUGUGUAUUUAAAUUGGGCCUUAUUGUUAGCACUACGCUAUAACUUAAUUAUUGUGUAAUUAACUGUAGGUAAACCAGUAAGCCCUUAUUGUGAUUACGAGUUAUUGUGAAUAGGCCCUGGUUAAAUUUUAUGUAUUAUUUGAUAUUGGGUCAGAUGUUUGAAAAUUUUAUAGAACUUAUAUCUUAAGUCAUAUGGGCUUACUGUUUUGUUGAAAUUAGGAGAAUCAUAUAGACAGAUUGAAUAAUUUAGGCUUACUAAGGGCUUCGGGGGCCUUAAGCUUACCUGGGCUCUAGUGCCGGUUCGGCCCACGGAAACGGGUCGUGACACUAUUAAAUUGCCUUUGUCAGUUUUCCUUUAUGAUAAAUGAUAAACGUCAUAUUUUUCAAUUGUUUUGUAUUUUAAAGAACGAC